GACGAACGCUGGCGGCGUGCUUAACACAUGCAAGUCGAACGUGAUUUUUAUGGAAAGCCCUUCGGGGACGGAAAUGAAAUGAAAGUGGCGAACGGGUGAGUAACACGUGAGCAACCUACCUUACACAGGGGGAUAGCCGUUGGAAACGACGAUUAAUACCGCAUGAGACCACUAAGACACAUGUUUUGGAGGUAAAAGAUUUAUCGGUGUAAGAUGGGCUCGCGUCUGAUUAGCUAGUUGGAAGGGUAAAGGCCUACCAAGGCAACGAUCAGUAGCCGGUCUGAGAGGAUGAACGGCCACAUUGGAACUGAGACACGGUCCAAACUCCUACGGGAGGCAGCAGUGGGGAAUAUUGCACAAUGGGGGGAACCCUGAUGCAGCGACGCCGCGUGAGCGAAGAAGGUUUUCGAAUCGUAAAGCUCUGUCCUAUGAGAAGAUAAUGACGGUAUCAUAGGAGGAAGCCCCGGCUAAAUACGUGCCAGCAGCCGCGGUAAUACGUAUGGGGCGAGCGUUGUCCGGAAUUAUUGGGCGUAAAGGGUACGUAGGCGGUUUUUUAAGUCAGGUGUGAAAGCGUGAGGCUUAACCUCAUUAAGCACUUGAAACUGGAAGACUUGAGUGAAGGAGAGGAAAGUGGAAUUCCUAGUGUAGCGGUGAAAUGCGUAGAUAUUAGGAGGAAUACCCGGUGGCGAAGGCGACUUUCUGGGACUUUUACUGACGCUCGGGACGAAAGCGUGGGGAGCAAACCGAUUUAUAUAUCCUAGUACUUCGCAGGGCGAAUUCCUAGAGAUAUCUAGCUUCUUGGACCGCCAACCGGGGGGUGUGUUCGUUUUAUAAAUUUGUUCCCUAGGGCGGUUAUUUACCCCCCACCCGCCAGGGCCCUGGUGAUUGUGAUUG
This 894-nucleotide ribosomal RNA is filed under the name uncultured Enterococcus sp. RNAcentral describes it as "bacterial SSU rRNA". It matches the Rfam family "Bacterial small subunit ribosomal RNA", at positions 28 to 873 of the family's 1533-position model. Lineage: Bacteria; Bacillati; Bacillota; Bacilli; Lactobacillales; Enterococcaceae. The record is from RNAcentral.